Molecule: microRNA precursor, 87 nt
Filed under: Xiphophorus maculatus (southern platyfish)
Lineage: Eukaryota; Metazoa; Chordata; Actinopteri; Cyprinodontiformes; Poeciliidae
Description: let-7 microRNA precursor family
Rfam family: let-7 microRNA precursor family
About the family: This family represents the microRNAs (miRNA) let-7 and mir-98. let-7 was identified from a study of developmental timing in C. elegans, and was later shown to be part of a much larger class of non-coding RNAs termed miRNAs. The extents of the hairpin precursors are not generally known and are estimated based on hairpin prediction.
Source: Rfam by way of RNAcentral
GCAGGUUGAGGUAGUAGUUUGUGCUGUUGGCCGGGGCGACGUGCUGCCCCACAUGGAGAUGACUGCGCAAUCUACUGCCUUGCCGGC